Molecule: unclassified non-coding RNA, 3132 nt
Filed under: Hevea brasiliensis (rubber tree)
Lineage: Eukaryota; Viridiplantae; Streptophyta; Magnoliopsida; Malpighiales; Euphorbiaceae
Source: RNAcentral
AGAGAGAGAGAGAGAGAGGUUUAACCUUUGCUAAUGCCAUUGUUGUACGCCAACUCAUUUCAUUUGAGUCGUAGAGAUUCUAUUUACCAAACACAAGAACAAAACCACCAUCUCUCUCUCUCUCUUUCUCGAGCCCCUACAUUUCCUUACCACCAUGCUCUUUGCUUUGUCAUCUACUUGUUAUCUCUCUCUCUUUCUUCAUUUUCUUUGCUAAUCUCAGACCAUUACUUGUUUUUCUACCAUUUUUAGUUACAGAAACCUUCUCUUCUCUGCUUAAAAAAGGAACUUCUUUUCCUAAGCAAAAACUAAUCUUUCUGCUGUCAAUGUAUUUUUGGCUUUGAAUUACUCUGUCUCUGCGGCUAAGAGAUGAAAUGGGUUGUUGUGAAACUUCUCUAAGAGUUUGGUUUCUAGCCGAAAUACACCUUUCUCUACCGAAAGAUGAAAGUGGUUGCUUCAAGACUUUCCCAAAAGCUACAUUUCCAAGCUUCAAUGUGUAGAACUAUUCCUCAAACGCACAUAAAACCCAGUUUGGCACAGCCCCACCUCCUUUUUAUCCUAAAAGAAUACACAGAUUCUCCCAAAGAACCAACUUUCUCACUUUUCAGUGUCCCGUUUUUCUAAAAGCAGCACCCACGCCUAUUCAAGCCAAAGAAAAAAACCACUCUUCCAGCUUUAAGCAACAGAAACCAUGGGAUGUGUUGCCUCCAAGCUAGAAGAAGAAGAAGAGGUGGUAUCUAUCUGUAGGGAGAGAAAAAGGCAGCUAAAACUAGCUGUAGAGAGAAGAUAUGCUCUUGCAGAAGCACAUUGUAGAUACUUCCAGUCUCUCUAUGCUGUAGCAGCUACUAUAAAGCUCUUUGUAGCUCGCCAUUCUUCACCAACUUCACCGUUCCUCAUCACCUUCCCUCCUCCCCUAUCUCCUACUGAACAAAACGUGAUAACGAAUCCAAUCUUUCUCCAACAAGAGCCAUCUGAGUCGACAACCCCCCAUGAAGCCAUUGCUUGUGAGUCUUGUGGUUCCUCAGCAACUUCAGAUUCUAGUGAGGAAGAGACCAAAGAAGAAGAACAGAGAGAGGAGCAAGAUUUUGGGUAUUUUUAUAUGCAAACACAGUCACCACAGACAGAUUUUGGAUGGGAUUUCUUUAACCCAUUUGAUACAAUGAGGCCAGAAAUUGUAAGUGGUUAUGGGAGAAGUUCAGAUGAUGACUUGAGGGUGGUGAGGGAAGAGGAGGGGAUUCCAGAGCUAGAAGAAGAAGGGGAUAGGGAAGGAGAAGAUGAAGAAGAAGAUAAUGGAAAAGCUGUGGUUAUUGAAGAGAAAGGGAAAACGGAGAUUGAGGAACGUGGGACUGGUGAGGUUAAGGUGGUGGAUGAAGUUGCAAAUCGGAGCCAAAGUGAGCGAAAGGGGCUUACGGUUAUUGAUACACCAGAGAGAGGUAGGGAACUAUUAGAGGCAUUGAAGGAUAUUGAGGACCACUUUGUUAGGGCUUAUGAUUCUGGCAAGGAUGUGUCAAGGAUGCUAGAAGCUAAUAGGGUUUAUUUGCAAUCUGGCCUGGAGGAAAUAAAAGGGAACUCGAGAAAACUAAUUCAAGCUAUUACAUGGCAUCGGUCCACUUCCUCGUCUAAGCCUUCAUCAUGCAAGAGUGUUGUGGCAUCCAGUUCUAAAAGUUCAUCAACUUGGACAGAAUAUAAGAAUGAUUUGUUUGAUGAAUAUGGCGGAAUGGAUGCAGGAAGCCAUUCACUAACACUUGGGAGGUUGUAUGCUUGGGAAAAGAAGCUCUAUGAAGAAAUCAAGGCCGGAGAUAGCACAUGGAAAAUUUAUGAAAGAAAAUGUUCACGACUAAGAAACCAAGAUGUCCGAGGAGAUGAUGAACUUGCGAUGGACAAGACCAGAGCUGCAGUAAAAGAUUUAUAUGCUGGGAUCUUGGUUGCAAUUCGAAGUGCUGAGUCAAUCUCAAAGAGAAUUGAAAAGCUUAGAGAUGAAGAACUGCAGCCUCAAAUAGUAGAACUCUUGAAAGGCCUAACUCACACUUGGAAGAUUAUGUUGGAAUCCCAUGAAACCCAAAACAAGAUUCUUUUUGAAGUAAAAUCUUUUGCUUGCACUGCAUAUGGAAAAUUCUGCAAUGACUCUCACCGGCUUGCAACGCUUCAACUUGAGGCUGAGAUUCACAAUUGGUGUGCAUGCUUUACCGAGUAUGUUGCAGCACAAAAAGCAUAUGUUGAAGCACUCCAUGGUUGGCUAACCAAGUUCUUAGUCCCAGAAGUUGAAUUCUACUCCAGACGCAGCAGGAGUUCAGCAGCACCAUAUCGAGCGACUGGUCCACCUUUGCUUGUGAUCUGCCAUAAUUGGUUAUCUUCGAUGGAGAACUUACCAAGUGGGUCAGUAUCAUUUGCAUUGAGAAGCUUUUCAAAGGAUGUAAGGGCUUUAUGGACUCAGCAAGGUGAGGAACAACAACAAAAGAGGAAAGUUGACAAUCUUGCAAAACAACUUGACAGAAGAACUCUGGCAAUGCAAAAGACUGAGACCAGGUUUCUUGAAUCCAAGCUUAUAGAAUAUGAAACCAAUCAGGAAUCAGAACACCUUCAUGACCACUUGACAGAGAAGAAAGAUCAGUUGGACAUAUUUAGGAAGAAGCUGGACAUGGAAAAGGAAAAACACCACAAGUGCAUGCAAGAAACACAGAGGAUUACAUUAAGUGGAUUUCAGACAGGAUUUUCGACAGUUUUCGAGUCCAUAACAGAGUUCUCCAAGGCUUCCAUGAAAAUGUACAAUGACCUUGUGAACUGCAGUGAGAGUGCUGGGAAACUAGAUAACCAAUCAUAUAUAGAAGGUGCUCAGUUUGAAAAAAUUGACAUUUAAAAAGCUUGAAAAUGAGUUUCAAGAAUCUAGUCUCUGGAUUGCUUGUAUAUUAUAUCAUGUUGAAGCAGCUCGCUUUGACAAAUUAAUUUCCAUUUUUAGCAAGUUUGUUACCGUGGAUUAGUAAUUGUUUACUGUGAAUUGUUGUCACAUUGCCUACAAUUUUGUUGCAAAAACUUUGAAAAUUUCCUUGUUUCUUGCAUCUUUGUUAACAAGAAAUGCAGAGGUGGGAAAUUUAGUAGGCAGUCCUUGUAAUUAAUUGUAUUCUGGUGUUGAAUAGA